AAUCGAUUAUUUGCUAUUUUUGAAAAACUUCAGAUCACACUGUCUUAAGACAAUCGAUUUGUUAAAUAUAGACAAUCGAUUGUUGGCUUAUUUUGAAAAAUUCCAGAGCACUGUCUCAAGACAAUCGAUUGUUAAGUAUAGACAAUCGAUUGUUGGCUAUUUUGAAAAAUUCCAGAUUACACUGUCUUAACGACAAUCGAUUGUUAGACAAAGA
RNAcentral lists this long non-coding RNA (214 nucleotides) under Nicotiana benthamiana. RNAcentral describes it as "long non-coding RNA (NBEN_LNC034217)". The record is from RNAcentral. Lineage: Eukaryota; Viridiplantae; Streptophyta; Magnoliopsida; Solanales; Solanaceae.